AACGAACGUUAGCGGCGCGCCUAACACAUGCAAGUCGCACGAGAAAGGGCUUCGGCCCCGGUACAGUGGCGCACGGGGUGAGUAACACGUGGGUAAUCUGCCUUCGAGCGGGGGGAUAACAUUCCGAAAGGAGUGCUAAUACCGCAUAAGACCACAGCCUCGAAAGAGGCAGCGGUCAAAGCCGGCCUCUAUACAUAAGCUGGCACUCGAAAAUGAGCCCGCGGAGCAUCAGCUAGUUGGUAGGGUAAUGGCCUACCAAGGCUAAGACGCUUAGCUGGUCUGAGAGGAUGAUCAAGCCACACUGGAACUGAGACACGGUCCAGACUCCGUACGGGAGGCUG
Molecule: ribosomal RNA, 341 nt
Filed under: uncultured Pseudomonadota bacterium
Lineage: Bacteria; Pseudomonadati; Pseudomonadota
Description: bacterial SSU rRNA
Rfam family: Bacterial small subunit ribosomal RNA
Source: RNAcentral